RNAcentral lists this ribosomal RNA (253 nucleotides) under uncultured bacterium. Its description in RNAcentral is "partial 16S ribosomal RNA". It matches the Rfam family "Bacterial small subunit ribosomal RNA", at positions 524 to 776 of the family's 1533-position model. The record is from RNAcentral.
UACAGAGGGUGCAAGCGUUGUUCGGAAUUAUUGGGCGUAAAGGGUGCGUAGGCGGUCGGGUAAGUCUGGCGUGAAAUCUCCAAGCCUAACUUGGAAACUGCGUUGGAUACUAUCCGGCUCGAGGAAUGGAGGGGAGACUGGAAUACUUGGUGUAGCAGUGAAAUGCGUAGAUAUCAAGUGGAACACCAGUGGCGAAGGCGAGUCUCUGGACAUUUCCUGACGCUGAGGCACGAAAGCCAGGGGAGCAAACGGG